AACGAACGCUGGCGGCAUGCCUAACACAUGCAAGUCGAACGAGACCUUCGGGUCUAGUGGCGCACGGGUGCGUCACGCGUGGGAACCUGCCCUUAGGUUCGGAAUAACUCCCCGACAGGGGUGCUAAUACCGGAUAAUGUCUUCGGACCAAAGAUUUAUCGCCUUUGGAUGGGCCCGCGUUGGAUUAGCUAGUUGGUAGGGUAAAAGCCUACCAAGGCGACGAUCCAUAGCUGGUCUGAGAGGAUGAUCAGCCACACUGGGACUGAGACACGGCCCAGACUCCUACGGGAGGCAGCAGUGGGGAAUAUUGGACAAUGGGCGAAAGCCUGAUCCAGCAAUGCCGCGUGAGUGAUGAAGGCCUUAAGGUUGUAAAGCUCUUUUACCCGGGAUGAUAAUGACAGUACCGGGAGAAUAAGCUCCGGCUAACUCCGUG
RNAcentral lists this ribosomal RNA (433 nucleotides) under uncultured bacterium. RNAcentral describes it as "partial 16S ribosomal RNA". It matches the Rfam family "Bacterial small subunit ribosomal RNA", at positions 29 to 507 of the family's 1533-position model. The record is from RNAcentral.